This 820-nucleotide ribosomal RNA is filed under the name Solicoccozyma terrea. RNAcentral describes it as "LSU rRNA". The stretch from base 98 to 820 matches the Rfam family "Eukaryotic large subunit ribosomal RNA", at positions 1 to 711 of the family's 3401-position model. The record is from RNAcentral. Lineage: Eukaryota; Fungi; Basidiomycota; Tremellomycetes; Filobasidiales; Piskurozymaceae.
UAUUUCGCUAAGGACAUUCUUCGGAGUGGCCUCGUUUUAGGACGCUUGUCCGCUUCCCAAUACAAGUUCCACCUCGUGGACAUGACUUUUUAUUAUCUGGCCUCAAAUCAGGUAGGACUACCCGCUGAACUUAAGCAUAUCAAUAAGCGGAGGAAAAGAAACUAACAAGGAUUCCCCUAGUAACGGCGAGUGAAGCGGGAAAAGCUCAAAUUUGAAAUCUGGUAGCCUCAGGCUGCCCGAGUUGUAAUCUAUAGAAACGUUUUCCGCGUUGGCCCAUGUACAAGUCUCCUGGAAUGGAGCGUCAUAGAGGGUGAGAAUCCCGUCCUUGACAUGGACUACCAAUGCUUUGUGAUACGUUUUCAAAGAGUCGAGUUGUUUGGGAAUGCAGCUCAAAAUGGGUGGUAAAUUCCAUCUAAAGCUAAAUAUUGGCGAGAGACCGAUAGCGAACAAGUACCGUGAGGGAAAGAUGAAAAGCACUUUGGAAAGAGAGUUAAACAGUAUGUGAAAUUGUUGAAAGGGAAACGAUUGAAGUCAGUCAUGUCUAUUGGACUCAGCCGGUUCUGCCGGUGUACUUCCUUUAGAUGGGGUCAACAUCAGUUUUGAUCGCUGGAAAAGGGCAGGAGGAAUGUAGCACUCUCGGGUGAACUUAUAGCCUUCUGUCGUAUACAGUGGUUGGGACUGAGGAACGCAGCAUGCCUUUAUGGCCGGGGUUCGCCCACGUACAUGCUUAGGAUGUUGACAUAAUGGCUUUAAACGACCCGUCUUGAAACACGGACCAAGGAGUCUAACAUAUCUGCGAGUAUUUGGGUGUCAAACCCGA